This 370-nucleotide ribosomal RNA is filed under the name uncultured bacterium. RNAcentral's name for it is "bacterial SSU rRNA". It matches the Rfam family "Bacterial small subunit ribosomal RNA", at positions 29 to 416 of the family's 1533-position model. The record is from RNAcentral.
AACGAACGCUGGCGGCAUGCCUGACACAUGCAAGUCGAACGGGAUCCUAGCUUGCUAGGUGAGAGUGGCGGACGGGUGAGUAACACGUGGGAAUCUGCCUUUUGGUUCGGGAUAACCGCGGGAAACUGCGGCUAAUACCGAAUGCCCUCGAGAGAGGAAAGAUUUAUCGCCAGAAGAGGAGCCCGCGUCCGAUUAGGUAGUUGGUGGGGUAAAGGCCUACCAAGCCGACGAUCGGUAGCUGGUCUGAGAGGAUGAUCAGCCACACUGGGACUGAGAUACGGCCCAGACUCCUACGGGAGGCAGCAGUGGGGAAUAUUGGACAAUGGGGGGCAACCCUGAUCCAGGCAAUGCCGCGUGAGUGAAGAAGGCC